Non-coding RNA from Caldicellulosiruptor saccharolyticus DSM 8903, 360 nucleotides. The record is from Rfam. NCBI's taxonomy places the organism in Bacteria, Bacillati, Bacillota, Caldicellulosiruptorales, Caldicellulosiruptoraceae.
CGAGCAGGUCGAACGGCUGCGCAAGGUGAAAGUUUUUCACCUUGUGAGGAAAGUCCGAGCUCCGCAGGGCAGGGUGCCGGGUAACACCCGGUGGAGGCGACUCCAAGGAAAGUGCAACAGAAAAGAACCGCCAUCCACAUUUUUGGUGGGUGGUAAGGGUGAAAAGGUGAGGUAAGAGCUCACCAGCAGUUAGGCGACUAACUGGCUGUGCAAACCCCACCUGGAGCAAGACCAAAUAGGGGAACAAUGCAGUGGCCCGCUGCGUUCCCGGGUUGGUCGCUUAUGAGUCUGAUGGUAACAUCAGACCAAAAGAGAAAUAGCCGUUCUCGACAGAACUCGGCUUACAGACCUGGUCGCACU